CAAAAUAUGAAGGAAAACAAAAUAGAUUUCGGACCCUUAAAUUUCAGGAAAUUGUAUAAAUCAAUUAUUCAGUAAGAGAAGUAAGAAGAAAUUCAUUGAAUAAAAAUGAUAUCAUUCAAGAAAUUAAAAUGAAAGGACCAAUGAUCUGUUUUGUUGUCAUCUGCACUGCCCUUCUUCUCGGAAGUGUGACAUGUGAACCUAUGAAUGAAGCUGAAGCUCGCCACCAUCACCACCACCAUGGACAUCAUCAUCAUGGACACCAUCACCAUGGUCACCAUCAUCAUCACGGGCAUCACCAUCAUGGGCAUCACCAUCAUCAUGGGCAUCAUCACUGAUAAUUCAAGCAAAAAAUAUUAUUAUAAAUUCUAAAAAGAAUGAAGCCUUUUAUUAAAGAGCUUUGAUGAAAUAAACACCAUUAAAAUGCA
Molecule: long non-coding RNA, 425 nt
Organism: Stegodyphus dumicola
Lineage: Eukaryota; Metazoa; Arthropoda; Arachnida; Araneae; Eresidae
Source: RefSeq, a predicted model, not a curated record